GGCAUGUUCACAAGCCCCUCCCUGCUUCGUGUGUUCCUUUUCCACACAAGUUACUCCAGGGUCUGUUAUGGCAGGGACUGCACAUUGGCACACACCAAACAGCUGCGGCAUGCCACGCUCCCCGACAGCACCUCCCUGCCAUCUCAGGACGCAGACAAGCUGAACCGAGCUAACUGUAGUGGACUGUCUGGCAAACACGCCCGCACAUCAGCAAGGCAAAGUGGAGGAAACUGCUGAACACAUGUCACAAGAUACAAAAGGUCCAAGAAAGGAAUUUGACAAUUAUUUGUCUGGAAAACUGAAGAAAGCAAAAUGAUGACAAAACAAAAUGGAAUGAUCUCUUCUCUUAAAAAUACAGAGCAUGGAAUUAAAGGGAAGCCUCCUUAUUCAGUAGAAACUCCUUAUGGCUUCCGACUUGACCUGGACUUUCUAAAAUAUGUAGAUGACAUAGAGAAAGGCAACACUAUCAAAAGAGUCCCAAUCCAGCGCCGGAGCAAAGGCACCCGGGCGAGCACCCUUCCCAGGCACCUCAAUCCUUCUGGGAGUGGCUAACACCCCC
Molecule: long non-coding RNA, 559 nt
Organism: Monopterus albus (swamp eel)
Lineage: Eukaryota; Metazoa; Chordata; Actinopteri; Synbranchiformes; Synbranchidae
Exons: 3
Source: RefSeq, a predicted model, not a curated record